This is a long non-coding RNA of Chelonia mydas (Green sea turtle), 1137 nucleotides long. RefSeq lists it as uncharacterized. The record is from RefSeq and is a predicted model, not a curated record. The transcript is spliced from 3 exons. Lineage: Eukaryota; Metazoa; Chordata; Testudines; Cheloniidae.
CACUUUGGUGUGCUCAGAUUGAUGGUUGGCUCCAAACUUCAUAUCCAUAACACAUCUUAACUCCAUCAUAUAUAUAAGGCAAUUGAAUCACAGGACCUAGAUCACUGACAACAAAUUCUUUCAAGAAUACAUCAAAGCCAUUUCUGGAAUAGAAACCUGUAUCUGGAAAGUCAGAUAUGUCAAGUAUUGGCCAAGUGUGACCCAGGAUAUUGGAGACCUGGAGGAAGAUUGAGAGCAACACCCAAGUAAGAGCCCAGGUGAACACUGCAUUGAAGCUAUACUACAGCAGCAUAAAUCACUGCGGGACAGAAGAAAAGAAAGUAAAUCGGACCAAAAAACUUCACUGCCAAUAUGGAAAUCCCCCAUAUUACCUGAAGUUUGGAAUCUGAAGAGAACAUCUCAUCUGUAUUUCUCCAAACCCAAGUGCAAGCAUACAGCAGAUAGAGCGUGUUUCUUCUUGUGAGACAAAAAUUUCAGAAGAAAGCACCGAUUGCAGAUUAAGAUUUCAUUUAAUGAUUAAUGUUCUCCUCUUUGUUGAAUUUCCAGCAUGUUUGUUUUAUUCCAGUUCUGUACCUGUAGCUACAACUUACUAUAACUCCCAUAACAACAUCUUUAACCAAGGAUGCACUACAAAUUCUUCUAGAUCAUUAUUCAAGCUUGUUUAAACCAUUAGUUUUAAUAAUGUAUACACUGCUGUGCAAGUGAAGUGUCAAAUAAUUAAAGAGAUUUACUACUGAUAAGGGAUUUGGCACCGUCCUUUGUAGAUGACAACUCUGAGGAAUUGUCACAGAUUGAAGUGUCAUUAGAGGAGGUUUUGGAAUUAAUUGAUAAACUUAACAGUAACAAGUCACCAGGACCAGAUGGCAUUCACCCAAGAGUUCUGAAAGAACUCAAAUGUGAAAUUGCGGAACUGUUAACUAUGGUUUGUAACCUGUCCUUUAAAUCAUACAGACUGGUAAGUCUAACAUCAAUACCGGGCAAAUUAGUUGAAAUAAUAGUAAAGACUAAAAUUGUCAGACGCAUAGAAGAACAUAAAUUGUUGGGCAAAAGUCAACAUGGUUUCUGUAAAGGGAAAUCAUGUCUUACUAAUCUAUUAGAGUUCUUUGAGGGGGUCAACAAACAUGUGGACAAGGGGGA